Molecule: ribosomal RNA, 520 nt
Filed under: uncultured Glomus
Lineage: Eukaryota; Fungi; Glomeromycota; Glomeromycetes; Glomerales; Glomeraceae
Description: SSU rRNA
Rfam family: Eukaryotic small subunit ribosomal RNA
Source: RNAcentral
AGCAGCCGCGGUAAUUCCAGCUCCAAUAGCGUAUAUUAAAGUUGUUGCAGUUAAAAAGCUCGUAGUUGAAUUUCGGGGUUAGUAGGUUGGUCAUGCCUCUGGUAUGUACUGGUCUCACUGAUUCCUCCUUCCUGAUGAACCUUAAUGCCAUUAAUUUGGUGUUUUGGGGAAUUUGGACUGUUACUUUGAAAAAAUUAGAGUGUUUAAAGCAAGCUAACGCUUGAAUACAUUAGCAUGGAAUAAUGAAAUAGGACGUUCGAUCCUAUUUUGUUGGUUUCUAGGAUUGACGUAAUGAUUAAUAGGGAUAGUUGGGGGCAUUAGUAUUCAAUUGUCAGAGGUGAAAUUCUUGGAUUUAUUGAAGACUAACUACUGCGAAAGCAUUUGCCAGGAUGUUUUCAUUAAUCAAGAACGAAGUUAGGGGAUCGAAGACGAUCAGAUACCGUCGUAGUCUUAACCAUAAACUAUGCCGACUAGGGAUCGGAUGAUGUUAAUUUUUAAUGUACUCAUUCGGCGCCUUACG